Molecule: long non-coding RNA, 431 nt
Organism: Magnolia sinica
Lineage: Eukaryota; Viridiplantae; Streptophyta; Magnoliopsida; Magnoliales; Magnoliaceae
Exons: 3
Source: RefSeq, a predicted model, not a curated record
UGUCUACUUUGUUCAUAUGAUGCAGUCCAAGUUUUAGUUUGAAAAAGAGAUUAAAUUUUAGGUGUUGAUGUCGAUUGGUAAAAAAUGGAGGGACUGGAAGUGCGAAUUGAAGAAAUUCCACUACUCACUUUACGAUAAUGAUGAGGCGCGGCUGGCAGACCUCGAUGAGCAUGUCUAUAUGGAUCAGUGGAAGGCCCUCAUUGAGUUUUGGAACUCUGAAGAGGGAAAGAUCCAUAAUAAGAUAAAUACAGAAAAUCAGAAAAAAUAACGCAUCGGCCACGCUGCAGGCACGAAGAGCUUUGCGCGGAUACGUGAUGAAGAGAGAAAGAAGAGGGCCAAUGGGGAGGAUUUGACUCGAGUAGAUAUGUUCUUAUUAACACAUACACACAAGAAUGGGAUGCCUGUGGAUGAGGCCUCAUCUACUGCAAUGG